This 217-nucleotide long non-coding RNA is filed under the name Pelobates cultripes (western spadefoot toad). Lineage: Eukaryota; Metazoa; Chordata; Amphibia; Anura; Pelobatidae. The record is from RNAcentral.
CUGUACAGAAACAAAUCCUACCUAAGCCCUACAGUAAAGGAAAAGAUUGUACAGCAAAUGCUGAUGCCAAUCAUUGAUUAUGGGGAUGUAGUAUAUGCAUCUGCAUCGCAAUCCCACAUUAAUAAACUCAACACAUUGUAUAACUCGUUCUGCCGAUUUGUGCUACAAUGUAAUUACAGGACCCACCAUUGUGACAUGCUAAAAGAACUAAACUGGC